This 497-nucleotide ribosomal RNA is filed under the name uncultured bacterium. RNAcentral's name for it is "partial 16S ribosomal RNA". It matches the Rfam family "Bacterial small subunit ribosomal RNA", at positions 28 to 507 of the family's 1533-position model. The record is from RNAcentral.
GAUGAACGCUGGCGGCGUGCCUAAUACAUGCAAGUCGAGCGAACAGACGAGGCGCUUGCUCCUCUGACGUUAGCGGCGGGCGGGUGAGUCACACGUGGAUAACCUACCUAUCAGACUGGGAUAACUUCGGGACACCGGCGCUAAUACCGGAUAAUCUAUUGCACCGCAUGGUUCAAUAGUGAAAGACGGUUUUGCUGUCACUUCUAGCUGGAUCCGCGCCGCAUUAGCUAGUUGGUAAGGUAACGGCUUACCAAGGCAACGAUGCGUAGCCGACCGGAGAGAGGGAUCGGCCACACGGGAGGUGAGACACGGUCCUGACUCCUACGGUAGGCAGCAGUAGGGAAUCGUCGGCAAUGGGCGAAAGCCUGGCGGAGCAGCGCCACGCGAGUGAUGAAGGUCUUGGGAGCGUAAAACUCUGUUAUGAGGGAAAAACAAAUGUGGAAGUAACUAUGCAGGGCUUGACGGUACCGAAUCAGAAAGCCACGGCUAACUACGUG